This 256-nucleotide ribosomal RNA is filed under the name uncultured bacterium. RNAcentral's name for it is "partial 16S ribosomal RNA". It matches the Rfam family "Bacterial small subunit ribosomal RNA", at positions 524 to 780 of the family's 1533-position model. The record is from RNAcentral.
UACGUAGGGUGCGAGCGUUGUCCGGAAUCACUGGGCGUAAAGCGCACGUAGGCGGAUUGCUAAGUCAGGGGUGAAAUCCUGGAGCUCAACUCCAGAACUGCCUUUGAUACUGAGAUCUUGAGUUCCGGGAGAGGUGAGUGGAACUGCGAGUGUAGAGGUGAAAUCGUAGAUAUUCGCAAGAACACCAGUGGCGAAGGCGGCUCACUGGCCCGGUACUGACGCUGAGGUGCGAAAGCGUGGGGAGCAAACGGGAUUA